This 490-nucleotide ribosomal RNA is filed under the name uncultured bacterium. RNAcentral describes it as "partial 16S ribosomal RNA". It matches the Rfam family "Bacterial small subunit ribosomal RNA", at positions 28 to 507 of the family's 1533-position model. The record is from RNAcentral.
GAUGAACGCUAGCUACAGGCUUAACACAUGCAAGUCGCGGGGCAGCAUGGGGGUUGCUUGCAAUCCCCGAUGGCGACCGGCGCACGGGUGAGUAACGCGUAUCCAACCUGCCCUUCACCACGGGAUAACCCGGCGAAAGUCGGACUAAUACCGUAUGUUGUCCAUUGACGGCAUCCGAUUUGGACGAAAGGCUUGGCGGUGAGGGAUGGGGAUGCGUCCGAUUAGCCAGACGGCGGGGUAACGGCCCACCGUGGCUACGAUCGGUAGGGGUUCUGAGAGGAAGGUCCCCCACACUGGAACUGAGACCCGGUCCUGACUCCUACGGGAGGCAGCAGUGAGGAAUAUUGGUCAAUGGGCGUAAGCCUGAACCAGCCAAGUAGCGUGCAGGAUGACGGCCCUAUGGGUUGUAAACUGCUUUUAUGCGGGGAUAAAGUGGCCCACGUGUGGGCUUUUGCAGGUACCGCAUGAAUAAGGACCGGCUAAUUCCGUG